This 497-nucleotide ribosomal RNA is filed under the name uncultured bacterium. RNAcentral's name for it is "partial 16S ribosomal RNA". It matches the Rfam family "Bacterial small subunit ribosomal RNA", at positions 28 to 507 of the family's 1533-position model. The record is from RNAcentral.
GAUGAACGCUGGCGGCGUGCCUAAUACAUGCAAGUCGAGCGAACAGAUAAGGAGCUUGCUCCUUUGACGUUAGCGGCGGACGGGUGAGUAACACGUGGGUAACCUACCUAUAAGACUGGGAUAACUUCGGGAAACCGGAGCUAAUACCGGAUAACAUUUGGAACCGCAUGGUUCUAAAGUGAAAGAUGGUUUUGCUAUCCCUUAUAGAUGGACCCGCGCCGUAUUAGCUAGUUGGUAAGGUAACGGCUUACCAAGGCAACGAUACGUAGCCGACCUGAGAGGGUGAUCGGCCACACUGGAACUGAGACACGGCCCAGACUCCUACGGGAGGCAGCAGUAGGGAAUCUUCCGCAAUGGGCGAAAGCCUGACGGAGCAACGCCGCGUGAGUGAUGAAGGGUUUCGGCUCGUAAAACUCUGUUAUUAGGGAAGAACAAACGUGUAAGUAACUGUGCACGUCUUGACGGUACCUAAUCAGAAAGCCACGGCUAACUACGUG